AUUCCUUGGGACACAAGUCUCUAUAUGGUAGUCAAACUUUGUCAAUAUAGUCCAAACAAGAGAAUACUUUUUCUCUUAAGUGGUGACUCAUCAACCUUGGUCAUCAAGGUCUCAUGCAAGGAGACACAUGUCCACUCACAUGAGGGAAUCCAAGUGGCCUUCUUCUUUUAUUCACUCACAUGACCGUUAUAAUAAUAUAUAGAAUUUCAUAGGCAUAACAUGCACUCAAAUUCUAUUGAAAUGAAAAGGAACAUUCCAAGAAUCUAUACUUUCUAGCCUAUAACCCUCUAGACUCAAAACUUUGACAAGACUGCCCAACUAACUGGGCUUAUAUUUUUCUUUUUUUUCCCUUUUGCCCUGGUGUCUUGGUAGCAACUGGCUGCAUGUCUUCUGGGUCG
RNAcentral lists this long non-coding RNA (398 nucleotides) under Elaeis guineensis (African oil palm). RNAcentral's name for it is "long non-coding RNA (EGUI_LNC074627)". The record is from RNAcentral. Lineage: Eukaryota; Viridiplantae; Streptophyta; Magnoliopsida; Arecales; Arecaceae.